UCGGGAAUUUUGCGCAAUGGGCGAAAGCCUGACGCAGCAACGCCGCGUGAGGGAUGACGGCCUUCGGUUGUAACCUCUUUCUCAGGGAAGGUGAUGACGGUACCUGAGGAAUAAGCCACGGCUAACUACGUGCCAGCAGCCGCGGUAAUACGUAGGUGGCGAGCGUUGUCCGGAUUUACUGGGCGUAAAGAGCGCGCAGGCGGUCGUUCAAGUCGCGUGUGAAAGCCCCGGCUCAACUGGGGAGGGUCACGCGAUACUGAUCGACUCGAAGGCAGGAGAGGGUAGUGGAAUUCCCGGUGUAGUGGUGAAAUGCGUAGAUAUUGGGAGGAACACCAGUGGCGAAGGCGACUACCUGGCCUGUUCUUGACGCUGAGGCGCGAAAGCUAGGGGAGCAAACGGGAUUAGAUACCCCGGUAGUCCUAGCCGUAAACGAUGGACACUAGGUGUUGGUGGUAUCAACCCCGCCAGUGCCGAAGCUAACGCAUUAAGUGUCCCG
RNAcentral lists this ribosomal RNA (496 nucleotides) under uncultured Acidobacteriota bacterium. Its description in RNAcentral is "bacterial SSU rRNA". It matches the Rfam family "Bacterial small subunit ribosomal RNA", at positions 355 to 871 of the family's 1533-position model. The record is from RNAcentral. Lineage: Bacteria; Pseudomonadati; Acidobacteriota.